CCUGAAUCUAGGGCAAAAGUGAGAGCGGCAGGUAAGGGUGAUGGUGAAGGAUAAAAGAGAAGGGGCAUAGGGAACUUUGGGACACUGGAUAUACUUACAGUCUUGGUUGUACCGAUGGCUUUUGGGUAUAUACGUAUGUCAAAAUUUAACAGACUGUACACUUCAAAUAUGUGUCAUUUAUUGCAUGUCACUUAUCCAUAUGAUAAAGCUAUUUUUUAAAAUCACCUUUUCCAAGCUAUGAACUGUAUACUUUGUGUAGAAGACUCCAUAAUCACUUAAAAAUAAGAUAAAGUGGGAAAUGAUUUGUCCCUCAAUAAUUGGUAAGAGAGGCCUUUCCUUCAAAUCAAAAUCCAUGGUCUGGAUCCUGGACCUUGGGGAGCUGAGGAAGGGUCAGAGGCAUGGUCUCAAGGUUGUAUCAGCUUAAGCUGCCCAUGAAGUCAGUGUGUGUGUAUUAGUCACUCAGUCAUGUCUGACUCUUUGCAUCUCUAGGAACUGCAGCCCCGCAGGCCCCUCUGUCCAUGGAAUUCUCCAGUACCCAGGAGGAAAUUUCAGGGUCAUCAUAAAGCAGAUGGUCAGAGGGUAGAGAACUAAGAAAAUGUGCCAGAAGUGGGGAAACAAGGACAGAAUAGAGAAGAGAUGGGGAGUGUUGGGACUCCGAGAGGAACAUUAGUCAGGAAGCCACGUGGGCAGGGCUAGAGGACAGUCUGAAGCUCAGUGAGAGGAAGCCGAGGGGCAGAGGUGAAAAGAGGCAAAUGCAGGCACAGGCGAGAGUAUGAGCCUGUGGUGAAUCAGCCCGUUUGGAUUUCCCCUGGUCAAUGUUUCAUGAGUUUCACUGGUGUUAGGCAAAGUCUAAAAGCGAAAGAAAUGCACUCACUCAACUGUUGUAAGACAUUACAUAAUUAACAGACAUCGUGUUCUUGUAUGCGUUAUGGAAAUAUUCAGGUUGAAACCCUUGAUGAAUGUGAUGUAAAGAAAAGGAAUCUACAAUUUGGUUGUUUAAAUAUCAGUGCAAGAAGGUAUUCAGAAAGUGUGUUUUCAGGACUAUCACAGGGCUCCAUUAAGGAAUUUCCAUUGGUCUGGACAGAUGGCACUUGGCAAAGGUGUGUAUUUAGGACGAAGCGGAAGGCCCAUUGUUAG
This 1137-nucleotide long non-coding RNA is filed under the name Bos indicus x Bos taurus (hybrid cattle). RNAcentral's name for it is "lncRNA (ENSBIXG00000004963.1)". Lineage: Eukaryota; Metazoa; Chordata; Mammalia; Artiodactyla; Bovidae. The record is from RNAcentral.